UACAGAAUUGACAAGUUGGAGAAUCUAAAACACCGAUCCUAAAUAAAUGAGCACCACUACGAGAAUUUUCCAGACGUAACCGACAAAUUGUGGUGUAAAAUUUUCUGUGGACAUUUAAGGAUAGAAGAAUGGAUGAUAAUUGUUCUAAAUCAACAUUAUUAAAUGCUCCUACAACAUCCAAAAAAACACCAGCCAAUAUCUUAUUGUCAAUCUGGGCACUAUGGAUGUCAAGACAUAAAUGCCGUAUACUCUCACAAGCAGAACGACCACAUCGAAAUCCAAAUUGAUUAUUAGAGAUUCCAAUGCAUCGUUUCCCAGAUGCUGUCAAAUUUCCUGAGCAGUUUAAAACUUGGGUCAGUCUUGUUGGUGGAAACCAUUUAACAUCUGAUUUUGUAUGUUAUAAGAAGAAGAGAAUUUGUGAUAUACACUUUUCUGACAGACACAGAAAUCGUAAUCUAAUAUCGGCUAAGCACAUUGGCAGUUCCGAUGCUUCAUCUGCCUGGACAACUACAGAGUCAAGUAAUCUUAGGACAAGCUUCAUCCACACAACAUUUACUGCCUACAAUAAUACAGCAAGACUGUUCAGAGCCAUAUGUGAGCAACUUUGUUUUAGAAAAGGCACCAACUUCAACAACAUUCCAACCUGUGGCUGCAGAUGCAUCUCAACAAUUUACUUCAGCAAGGUGCUUGAUGCUGGAACAUAAUUAUAGUUUUAUUAGCAAGCCUAAAGGAACAGCUGGAAAAGAUCUAAUGGCUUCACAGUGCACAAAGAUCAAGCAUCUUCAAGCAGAAAUAUCGUGCUUGCGAAAAAAAGGACAAUCUUUCAAAGCAAGGUUAAAAGGUGGUGCAGAUCGAUCAAUCAAAUUUUGUCCGGAAAAUUAACAUAUGUGGGUGAAGACGAAACAAAAAUAGCUGACCAAUAAUAUUAUGA
This is an RNA transcript of Leptidea sinapis, 931 nucleotides long. RefSeq lists it as uncharacterized. The transcript is spliced from 7 exons. NCBI's taxonomy places the organism in Eukaryota, Metazoa, Arthropoda, Insecta, Lepidoptera, Pieridae. The record is from RefSeq and is a predicted model, not a curated record.